Molecule: long non-coding RNA, 3075 nt
Organism: Oncorhynchus tshawytscha (Chinook salmon)
Lineage: Eukaryota; Metazoa; Chordata; Actinopteri; Salmoniformes; Salmonidae
Exons: 2
Source: RefSeq, a predicted model, not a curated record
UCAACAAAGUACUCAGUAAAAGUUCUGAAUAUUUAUGUAAAUGUGAUAUUUCCAUUUAUUUUUUAUACGUUUGCAAAGAAUUUUAAAAAACUGCUUUUGCUUUGUCAUUAUGGGGUAUUGUGUGUCGACUGAUGAGGGGGAAAAAAUACUUUUAAUACUUUCAGAAUGCACUGUAAUGUGCAACAUAUUGGCCGGAUCUGGUCUUUGGUUAGGAGCGCACCACCCUACCUUGAAGACCACAAGCAAACACCUCUCCAAAUAAAUAUAGAGCAGCUGAAUUAACUUGGCUUGACAUGGGUAUAAGUAGGAUACAGAUGGUAUAGUAAAGAUGAUUUAAAUGAACUUAUGAAGUCAUAUUAAAAACUUGGUCCCUAACCAUUUGUGACAAAUGAACUAAUGCUGAGCAAAUUUAGCCAUGAAGUCAACCGUACAGUUUGACAUCAUGACAGAGUUAAUAAUACUGACAUCCUAUACGUUGAUGAGCCUGAGGGAUUUGUAGUUGGUAUAUUCUGGUGCUGCCUCGUUUGAAAAACGUUAGUUAGCCAGAGUAUUGGCUAGAACACAGACAGCAGCCUGUGGGGAAUCUUGACAAAGAAAGGUGUGUUUUGGACAACGUUCCUUCCUGUACAAGAUUCCACACAGGGCUGCCACAGUCCUGGUAUACUUUUGGCUUCCCAUCCAACCAUCAUCUGAAGGGAAAGCUUGAUUCAUUGGACCAGGACUAAGUAUUGUGAUUGACUUCUAGCAAUCAGCUAUGUGGAGACAGAUAAACUCUUGUAUGCAUUUCUUAUAUUGCUGUUCUGUGGAGCUGCUGGUGGGGUAUUGACCUGGCUGGCCGAACGGUCCCUCUGACUCCCGCAUCUCCUCAUUCAUCUUGGCCAGUCGCAACCUUUGGGAAGAAAGGGAAGGGGGAGAGAAGGGAAGGAGGGGUCGGACACAAACUGUUAGAUGGAUUCACUUAAACUUCCCAGAGGUGACGAUGUCUGCAUUGGCUGCCUGCACAGCGAUACUCAGAGGGUCCUGCCCAUCCUCGUCCCCGUCGUUCUGCGUGGCUCCUCUCUUCAGGAACAAACACACCUGCCUGUAGAGGGCAGCAUGGAGACAGGUCAGACGUGAACAUGCAGAAGCAAAUCUGUACUCAGCAUCUUUGUCUUGUUUGCUAUCUAACCUGAGGAACAAUGUAGAAAAUAACUGAACAAUAAUCAGCUUUGCAUGCUACACCAUUGUCCAUGGAAAUGUUCACUUGUGGCUCAAAACAAGACAUUGACAAUAGUAAGGAAGAGAGAAGCGUUAUGCCUUGGCACUACUCACCCUGUGUGUCCCAGAUAUGUGGCGUGGUGUAGUGGCCCCCUCCCCCUUGCGUCUCUUUGGUUGACGUCAGCUGCAUUCUGGAGCAGGAACUCGCAGGCUAUCAAGGAGCCCUGGAAUGGAACACAAAGGUUCUGAGGCUCUCGCCAUGUUGCCAAAUAAAGCACAAUACAAUGUGAGAAAAUAUUGUGAUCAUGCAUAGACAUACUGUAUGGAUAGAUGUAUACAUUGAUGUUUCAACAUAAUGCGUCCAUGUAAUUUACUGUGAAUGACUAGAACUGCCUUUGCCAGUGUGCCAAGAACACACCUGCCUUUCAUUACAAUGACUCACCCCAAACACAGCCUGUAUGAGUGGGCUCUUGCGAUCAUCCUCGUCGUUGACGGAGUUGAUUUCAGCCCCGUGGGCCAGUGCCUCAGCCAUGACGGGCAGGUUGCGUGCCUGGGAGGCCUUGUAGAGCAGCGCCCCAGGGUGGAGCUCACGCCCAUCCUCUGGGUCCGACUGGGUCUCGGUCUCUGGCUCCAUCUCAGCCUCUCCGCUAGAGUCCUCUGACACCUCACACUCUGCAGAGAGAGAAGCAGCAGAGUUACAACUAGGAUUCAAUACAACUUCAUUUAUGCCCUCAAGGGCAAAUAAGGAUGGAAAUGGCAUUUUAAUACUAAAUAUGAUGGCUGAACCUAUGUUGUACAUUUCAUUUUCCAUCCUAUCCUUUACAGGUAUGUAUUUCUCUUCUUACCCUCCUCUGUAACACUGUCCACCACUGAGCCGAACACCAGGAUAUCUGUGCUGCCGUCUGUACUGCCGCCCAGGCCACUGUCACUGCUCAGACCUGCAGGGCCAAAAGGAGCCAAGCCAGGGACACGUUAGUCACUGUUGCUUCUAGCUAUUUCACUUUGCACACCACAAAGGAUUCAAGUAUCUCUGUGGUUUAGAGUGUAGUGUCUGUAUAUUAGAUGGGUAGGUAACUUACUACGAGGUCCAGAUCCUGUGUCGAAGUAAGAGAAGAGAUUGUCCAGCUCGUCUGGACAAAACAGUGACUCUCGUCGGAACUUUCUCUCUAGAGCUGAAGCGGCUGUAAAGCACAACGAGGGAAUGUUUAAAUGUACUGGGUUGUCAUUGUCAACUUUUUGUUUAGCACAAUUAGGAAUAUGGAUAAAAAGAGAAAAUGAGGAAGGUAUCCUUCCUCUCAUGCCAGGAGAGCUAUUAGGGUAUGAAGGGGUUAAACCAAGGCCUCAUACCUUUUAAAGGGUUAAUAAAUUGUGUUAUGAUAAACUGUAAGGUCUCUUAGGAGACCUCUGUGUGUGUGUUAACACCUGUUUUUAGUGUUGUGCCCUUCAGACACUAUCAGAAGGCAGAAACCACCUACGCUCAUACUCCUCCUGUCUGGGCCCCACCUGGAUAUCUGAGGUUCUGAGAAUAUGACUGGUUUUCUGAGAACACAAGGCUACCGCAUGCCUGAUGAAAACAGCCACCUGUCAGAAGAUGCUUAGACUCGUUCACCUUGUUAUGACCCGAUACUUGUGAUGAAAGUUUCAGCCAAACUCACUUCUGAGCUUCUAAUUGCUUACAAGAUAGUUGCUGCUGUCAGGGGGAGGUUAGAUUUAUUCAAAUGUUGUUGCCAGGGAAACUUACGCAAGGAGGACUGGGGAGGCUAUAUGAGUUACAUGUCUUAGACAUUUUGCAGAACCUGGGGAGAGCUAUCAUAUACUGUACUCUGUACCAACUUCUGCCUACAAUUGUAUUACUAAAGGAGAAUUGUAAUACUUAAA